CUCUCAUAAUAGCAAUACGUUCCCCAGCUUAUUUUCUAGCCUCCGCCCCCAAUAAAUGACCAUAGUUUGGGAAAUCAUCAAAGAAGUAAAAAUCAGCCUUAACAACAUAAGUGGAGUAAAUUUAACCAAUAAUCACUGAACUUUACAAUUGAUUACUAAUUGCUCACUCAUCUUUUACAUAUUACUGAAUGCUCACUCAUCUUUUCAUAUAAUUACUCAUUCACCACUCGUCUCUUCAAAUAAUUGGGCUACUUUUACGGCAAAUUUUCGACAACUUCCGACUACAAAGAAUGUCAAAUUUUGAUACCGUUAGAAAGCCCACGAUGUCCUCUUUAAUUACCACCCAAAAUCUCAUUAUAACUCCAAGGGAUUCGAUCGAAAAAUUGCCUUAAAAGUNACUUUUAAGGCAAUUUUUCGAUCGAAUCCCUUGGAGUUAUAAUGAGAUUUUGGGUGGUAAUUGAAGAGGAUAUCGCGAGCUUUCCAACGGUAUCAAAAUUCGACAUUCUUUGUAGUCGAAAGUUGUUGAAAAUUUGCCGUAAAAGUCGUCCAAUUAUUUGAAGAGACGAGUGGUGAAUAAGUAAUUAUAUAAAAAGAUGAGUGAGCAUUCAGUAAUCUGUGAAAGAUGAGUGAGCAAGUAGUAAUCAAGUGUAAAGUUAAGUGAUAAUUGGUUAAAUUUACUCACAUAAGUGAAACCAUUGCUGAUAAUUUGCAAAUUAAAACAAAGCUGAAGAAAUAGUUGAUAAUAACCCUCCCACCACCCACAAUAUAUUUAUACACCCACUAUAAUCCACCGCCGACCACCGCACAGCGCAUCAGAAAUGGCUUCAAGAAUUUCCCGAAGAUGUAAGCUUUCAUCAAUAUGUAUACACCAACUAAAAUCCAAACACCCAACUCAAUUUCAACCUCCAACCCCUCUUCAAAAUUCAUACACGGACGUUAAAUUAUCCUCACAAAUCAAUACUGAUGACACAAUAACCUCCUCCUGUAAUAUGCUCCAAGUGAAACCUUCACCACAGAUCUUGUCAUUUUUAAGAAAUUGCUAGCCGUCGUUGCCAACACCAAGAACUAUGAAGAUGAGAUUUUUUGUAGAAAAGGUGGAAAAAUGAGGAAACUGAGAAAUCGCGUAGGGGGGAAUCGAACCUUUAUACACACACAUAUAUACAACGCUCACCGUCAGAGGAAUUGAAGCAUGGCCGACGGCGAAUCUUCUGGUUCUCAUUUGGGGUUGGGUGAGGAUGAGGGUUGUUGAAGAAGAUGGAAUUUGGUGUGGGGUGGGUUUUUUUGGUAUUUUAAUUUGAUUAUUAUAGUUGUAAUUUAUAUGAUAAAUGUAAAUUUAUCCCUAUACCCUAAAUUAGUCAACUUUUGGUUAGAUUAUUGACUUUGG
Molecule: long non-coding RNA, 1384 nt
Filed under: Olea europaea subsp. europaea
Lineage: Eukaryota; Viridiplantae; Streptophyta; Magnoliopsida; Lamiales; Oleaceae
Source: RNAcentral